RNAcentral lists this ribosomal RNA (509 nucleotides) under uncultured bacterium. RNAcentral's name for it is "bacterial SSU rRNA". It matches the Rfam family "Bacterial small subunit ribosomal RNA", at positions 29 to 518 of the family's 1533-position model. The record is from RNAcentral.
AUGAACGCUGGCGGCGUGCUUAACACAUGCAAGUCGAACGAAGCACCUCUAAUUGAAGAUUGACGAAGCUUGCUUCUGAUUGAUUCGCCUUGAGGUGACUGAGUGGCGGACGGGUGAGUAACGCGUGGGUAACCUACCCUAUACAGGGGGAUAACAGUUUGGAAACAGCUGCUAAUACCGCAUAAGCGCACAGCUUCGCAUGAAGCAGUGUGAAAAACUCCGGUGGUAUAGGAUGGACCCGCGUCUGAUUAGCUAGUUGGUGAGGUAACGGCUCACCAAGGCGACGAUCAGUAGCCGACCUGAGAGGGUGACCGGCCACAUUGGGACUGAGACACGGCCCAAACUCCUACGGGAGGCAGCAGUGGGGAAUAUUGCACAAUGGGCGAAAGCCUGAUGCAGCGACGCCGCGUGAACGAAGAAGUAUUUCGGUAUGUAAAGUUCUAUCAGCAGGGAAGAAAAAUGACGGUACCUGACUAAGAAGCUCCGGCUAAAUACGUGCCAGCCGCCGC